RNAcentral lists this ribosomal RNA (1119 nucleotides) under uncultured bacterium. RNAcentral's name for it is "bacterial SSU rRNA". It matches the Rfam family "Bacterial small subunit ribosomal RNA", at positions 353 to 1482 of the family's 1533-position model. The record is from RNAcentral.
AGUGGGGAAUAUUGCACAAUGGGCGCAAGCCUGAUGCAGCAACGCCGCGUGGGGGAUGAAGGCCUUCGGGUUGUAAACCCCUUUUAGCAGGGAAGAAGCGAAAGUGACGGUACCUGCAGAAAAAGCGCCGGCUAACUACGUGCCAGCAGCCGCGGUAAUACGUAGGGCGCAAGCGUUGUCCGGAAUUAUUGGGCGUAAAGAGCUCGUAGGCGGUUUGUCGCGUCUGCUGUGAAAGUUCGAGGCUCAACCUCGAAUCUGCAGUGGGUACGGGCAGACUAGAGUGUGGUAGGGGAGACUGGAAUUCCUGGUGUAGCGGUGGAAUGCGCAGAUAUCAGGAGGAAUACCAAUGGCGAAGGCAGGUCUCUGGGCCAUAACUGACGCUGAGGAGCGAAAGCGUGGGGAGCGAACAGGAUUAGAUACCCUGGUAGUCCACGCCGUAAACGGUGGGCACUAGAUGUGGGGCUCUUUCCAUGAGUUCCGCGUCGCAGCUAACGCAUUAAGUGCCCCGCCUGGGGAGUACGGCCGCAAGGCUAAAACUCAAAGGAAUUGACGGGGGCCCGCACAAGCGGCGGAGCAUGCGGAUUAAUUCGAUGCAACGCGAAGAACCUUACCAAGGCUUGACAUAUGCGGUCUAUCCCUAGAGAUAGGGAGUGCUUCGGCGCCGUAUACAGGUGGUGCAUGGUUGUCGUCAGCUCGUGUCGUGAGAUGUUGGGUUAAGUCCCGCAACGAGCGCAACCCUCGUUCUAUGUUGCCAGCGCGUAAUGGCGGGGACUCAUAGGAGACUGCCGGGGUCAACUCGGAGGAAGGUGGGGAUGACGUCAAAUCAUCAUGCCCCUUAUGUCUUGGGCUUCACGCAUGCUACAAUGGCCGGUACAAAGGGCUGCGAUACCGCAAGGUGGAGCGAAUCCCAAAAAGCCGGUCUCAGUUCGGAUUGAGGUCUGCAACUCGACCUCAUGAAGUCGGAGUCGCUAGUAAUCGCAGAUCAGCAACGCUGCGGUGAAUACGUUCCCGGGCCUUGUACACACCGCCCGUCAAGUCACGAAAGUCGGUAACACCCGACGCCGGUGGCCUAACCCGUAAGGGAGGGAGCCGUCUAAGGUGGGAUUGGCGAUUGGGACU